This 1715-nucleotide long non-coding RNA is filed under the name Homo sapiens (human). RNAcentral's name for it is "Runx2 associated intergenic non-coding RNA isoform 001". The record is from RNAcentral. Lineage: Eukaryota; Metazoa; Chordata; Mammalia; Primates; Hominidae.
AGAUCGGAGGAUGUUUUUAAAAGGAAAAAUCAAAGCAUGUCUGUAGCUUCUGCAUGCCUGUAGUGGGACAAAGAGUCCUAACAGGCCUGGCUGAAGAUGCAGAAGCAGCUUCAAGCCCCAGUGACCAGGGACAGCCAGCACUGAUUCAGAGCCCAGUACCUUGGACUCCCAGUCUUCGACCACCUUGUUCCUCUCCUCGGAGGAGCCAGGCCCCUCCACCGCCGCCCUGCCAUCUCCCUCCUCCUCUUCCUGCGAGCCUCAGGCCUUUUCCCCAGGUCCGCCAGCGCUGCCUCCGCUGUUGCCUCCGCUCCCCGCAGCCUCGGCGCCCCCAGGCCCCGGCGCCUCCCGGCGCACAGGCCGCUACUCAGUCGUCGCCUCCUCCCCGGAGGCCGCCCCGCGUCUGGUCGACUGGCUCCCCGGUUGCCCUUCGACCAUCUCUCCCAGCACACGCGGGGAUGACAAGGAGCGGCCGCCGCCCGUCCUGGCACCGGCCGAGGGCCCGGAAAGGAGCCGCGCCCCGCGCCCCAGCACUGCGGGCAGGGAGGAGGGCACCGUGGACGCGGGUACAUCCCCGCCGCCCCGAGCCCGGCCCGCCGCUGCGGCGAGCUUGGAGGCCCACGUCGGGGACAUCCUGGUGGAGCUGCGGACCAUGAACGGCCACCUGGACAGCAUAGCGCGGGCCCUCACCAAACUGGCUUCGUCCCUGGGGCCCCAGCCUGAGCCCCUGCCAGAUGUUUCGGAUGCCAACUAAUGGAGCUCGGCGAGGCUGGGCCGCCCCGGGGCCGAGGGAUCGCUUGCACCAGGCAUCCCUGCCUGUCCCUCCCCAGCAGCGAAGCGCGCCCAGCGGAGGAGCGGUUGCUCUGCGCAGCUGCCUAGCGGAAAGCACGGCCCUAGCGUUUCAGCGUGAAACAGACCCGGUUGCGCCUCACACCCUCCUCCUCCGCUCUCUCACGGCGGCCCCUGCCCCGGCUUCCUGGCCCUUCACAUGCCCUUCUCUUGUCUUGAGCGUCUAGCAGAAAAAGUGCCUGGAAACGGCGGUGGCACCCUGCGAAGGAUGCUUAGAGAAACACUCUUUCACAUCCCAUUCCUGCGACUUCCGCGUGGCGUGGAGGGAGAGGAGCUCAAAGCAAGUCGCCAAAGCAGCAGCGAGGCCAGCUCCAGCGUUGGUGGGGCAUCCAUCUCUGGUGACGUUCACAAGAGGAGAAUUGAUGGCCCAAAGUGAAUGUCCUGCCCUGUGAUCUGCCCUUUAGCGGAAGAAACAGCAAAACCGGCAUCAACUAAAGCAACUGGGAACAUCAAGUUUUUAUUCAUUUGUUGAUUUGAACAGUAUUUCAUUCUGAUUUUAACUGACUUCUUUUGCAUUAGAUUAAAAACAACAACAAAAGACUGAAAUCUUUCAAGAACAAAGAGGAGCUGGCCUAUAAAUCCUAAAUACAGAUGUAGUGAUUGAACCCAUCUAGGUAGCUUAUGAAUAUAAAUCUCACCCAAAGUUUCAUCCACACUUAAGAGAUAACCACUGUUAAUAUUUUGGCAACUACUCUUGGAAGUAUUUGUGUCUAAAUACAAAUACCUAUGCGUAUGCAAUUUUACUUAACUGUGAUCAUAGUAGGCCUGCUGUUCUGUAACCUGUUUUUUUUUAAUCUUGAUAAUAGAUGAUAGAAAUCUUUUCAUUUAAAAAGCAAUGUUAUAUAUGAAGUAAAAUUUGCUUAACCAUU